CUCGAGACGAUCGAUCACCUGCUCCUUCACUGCUCAUUCUCUAGGAUCAUCUGGCAAGAGAUUCUUGCUGGUGCCCCCCCCCGCUGCCGCCCCCAGGACCCUGAGGCCUCCUUCUUGGACUGGUGGUCGACCUCGGUCGCGACUGCGCCUACCGCCAUGCGCAAAGGGCUCUCCUCCCUGGUGCUUCUCUCCGCAUGGUCCCUCUGGCGUCACUGCAACGCAUGCAUCUUUGACAAUGCUAGCUCCUCCACCGUGCUGCUUCUCCAGGCCAUCAAGGACGAUGCUCGGGUUUGGGCCUCGGCUGGCGCCAAAGACAUAGCUAAUCUCAUGCCACCUUGA
Molecule: ribosomal RNA, 339 nt
Filed under: Triticum aestivum (bread wheat)
Lineage: Eukaryota; Viridiplantae; Streptophyta; Magnoliopsida; Poales; Poaceae
Description: partial small subunit ribosomal RNA
Source: RNAcentral